AAAAUAUGAACUUUCAGAGAUAAUCUACAGGAUUUGGAAUUUCUACUAACAAAAAAGCAAAUUUUCUAGAAAAUGCAUAUAUUAUCCAAAUAGAUCAAUUUUACAGAAUUAAUUCUUCUAAAAACAAAUUGGUACUUUGGCAUGUAUAUCCUUUAGAAUGUGCUCACUUGAUUAUUUACAUCUAAAAAAAAAAAGCAACAUAUAUAUACCCCC
This 213-nucleotide long non-coding RNA is filed under the name Elaeis guineensis (African oil palm). RNAcentral describes it as "long non-coding RNA (EGUI_LNC033225)". The record is from RNAcentral. Lineage: Eukaryota; Viridiplantae; Streptophyta; Magnoliopsida; Arecales; Arecaceae.